GUGCAGCAUCGUGCCUGCUGCUGUCGGGGACGUGCCGGUGGUGCAGCGGGAGAAACAGCUGCGGCCAGUCGCCUUUGUGCUCUUUCCUGCUGUGUCCCCAGUCCUUGAACAUGCCUGGUGUGGAGCAGUUGGAUGACUCCAUUCUCUUCUCUUGGGGAGCUCCUCCUUGCCAGAAGGUAGAACUCCAUCAGGAUGAAGCCCAGGAUCAGCCGGAAGCAGCAAAUGAGAGAUUCCUUCUAUCUCUGAAAUUCCCACACUCAGGGAACAACUGUCCCCACAAAGCCUGUGGUCAAGAGGCCCGGGGGGUGGCUCAUCCCCGCAGCCAAGGAAGCCAGAACGAGCUACUGUGCAAAAGGCUUUUGGAAAGAUCUGAGAUUUCCCAGGACUUCCUUGGUGGCGCAGUGGUUAAGAAUCCGCCGGCCAGUGCAGGGGACAUGGGUUUGAGCCCUGGUCUGGGAACAUCCCACAUGCCGCGGAGCAACUAGGCCCAUGAGCCACAACUACUGAGCCUGUGCUCUAGAGUCCUCGAGCCACAACUACUGAGCCCGCGUGCCACAACUACUGAAGCCCACGCACCUAGAGCCCAUGCUCUGCAACAAGAGAAGCCCUCGCUCACUGCAACUAGAGAAGCCUGCGUGCAGCAACGAAGACCCAGUGCAGCCAAAAAUAAA
Mesoplodon densirostris (Blainville's beaked whale) is the source of this 671-nucleotide long non-coding RNA. RefSeq lists it as uncharacterized. The transcript has 3 exons. Lineage: Eukaryota; Metazoa; Chordata; Mammalia; Artiodactyla; Ziphiidae. The record is from RefSeq and is a predicted model, not a curated record.